GGGGGGGGGGAGUCCAACGAAUUUAGUGACUAAAAUUCCAUUAUGCAUCAUCUGAUUUUAUAUGUAAUGAACAAAAUUUGAAACCCUGGCAACAGCUUCUUUAAUGAGUAAGAUACCCGGUUCAGCCUUCAGCAUACUUGGCCAUUUACUCAGCCAGGAGAAUGGAGAGACUGCACAUGUUGUGUCACCAAAUCCAUAGGUAUGAUACCCAAGAAUAUUCUCCUCAUCAAAAAGCCCAGUGCAAUCCUAGGUUAUCUGACAGUCCCAUUAAUAUUUUAAUUUAUUGCAGUCCCAACAGUUUUCUCAACAAUAUAGCCAUGCUGCUCUCAAACAAGUGCAUGCCUUUGCCACUUUUUCUCUUUUUUCCUUAUACCAUAACAAGUGAAUUGGCCUUUCUAUGUCACUUGAAAGUAAUUUUCCAAACUCACGCCACAAAUAUUUUUCUUUUUUGGCUCUUAUGGAGACCCUACAGCCUUAGAUUCUCAAACCAGCUCCUUGAAGUGCCCUAAUUCGGUAUCUUUCAUACCGGAUUUGUGGGAAAUGGGUGCAGGUGGGAGAGAGGGAAAAAGGAUAACAACUGAUUUAUGGCUUAUUUCUGCUACAAAAGAUAAAAGGCAUAAAUAUCACCCUAAAUAGGCCUGUGCUGGCAGAAUAACAGAACUAACCAACCUUGUAAACCCAACCCACCACAAUCCAAAAAGCUGGUUUCUUCUUUAUUUGCUCGUGCUGCAAAUUCUAAAUUCUUACAGGUUCAUAUAUUGAUAUAAAGAACAGUUCAUACCCACCGAAACAGAAUAGUUGUAGAACACAGCAGAUUAAAAACUAACCAUCAGACCAGACAAAUGACAAAACACAGAUGGG
Molecule: unclassified non-coding RNA, 861 nt
Filed under: Hevea brasiliensis (rubber tree)
Lineage: Eukaryota; Viridiplantae; Streptophyta; Magnoliopsida; Malpighiales; Euphorbiaceae
Source: RNAcentral